RNAcentral lists this transfer RNA (76 nucleotides) under Tenericutes bacterium HGW-Tenericutes-1. Its description in RNAcentral is "tRNA-Ala". It matches the Rfam family "tRNA". Rfam says of the family: Transfer RNA (tRNA) molecules are approximately 80 nucleotides in length. Their secondary structure includes four short double-helical elements and three loops (D, anti-codon, and T loops). Further hydrogen bonds mediate the characteristic L-shaped molecular structure. tRNAs have two regions of fundamental functional importance: the anti-codon, which is responsible for specific mRNA codon recognition, and the 3' end, to which the tRNAs corresponding amino acid is attached (by aminoacyl-tRNA synthetases). tRNAs cope with the degeneracy of the genetic code in two manners: having more than one tRNA (with a specific anti-codon) for a particular amino acid; and 'wobble' base-pairing, i.e. permitting non-standard base-pairing at the 3rd anti-codon position. The record is from RNAcentral. Lineage: Bacteria; Bacillati; Mycoplasmatota.
GGGGGUGUGGCUCAGCUGGGAGAGCGCUUGCUUCGCAUGUAAGAGGUCGCCGGUUCGAAUCCGGUCAUCUCCACCA